This is a long non-coding RNA of Carassius carassius (crucian carp), 611 nucleotides long. RefSeq lists it as uncharacterized. Lineage: Eukaryota; Metazoa; Chordata; Actinopteri; Cypriniformes; Cyprinidae. The record is from RefSeq and is a predicted model, not a curated record. The transcript has 3 exons.
AGAAACCUGCUGGCACUAGAGAGCUCUCAGAAGUUGAGGAGGUGGAAAUGGAUGAAAUUCCACAAGAGGUCCCAAGUCUUAAUCAACAUCUUCAGAGACUAAAAAACCUGCUAAAUUCUGCCACUCUCUCUGCACCAGUGGAAGCAGAAGAGACACCCACCAUGUCUGCAUGGACCAACAGACAGGUCAUCUCUGAAAAUUGUUUUUAGGACUGCAAUGCCAGAAAUCUUAAAUUGCAUGUUGGCUGCAGAGACAGUAACCCAGCAUUCCUGUCAACAAUGCAAGACUGUUGAUGCGGUUGUCUGGUGCCUAGACUGUGUUCGCUCAGGAAGUCAGUAUUUCUGUUCCACAUGUGACUCAGAGAUCCACAGAAAAAAUGUUUUCCAUAAUAAGGAAGCUAUGUUUGAUGUUUUUUUUAAACCUAUUCCAGCAUCAUUAGUGGUGGUUGAUGAAAGUGGCCAAUAUCAACUCUGUGAACAAGUGUGUAUGCUUCCGAUUUCUCCACCAAUGCAAAUCUGCUCCUGCAGCCCAAACCAAGACUUCACAGUUAUCCCAGGAAUGAAGACUGUCUUGGUGACUAUCAACGAUAUGUCUUGUCACUUCCUCCUCCU